GACGAACGCUGGCGGCGUGCUUAACACAUGCAAGUCGAACGGAAAGGCCCUGCUUUUGUGGGGUGCUCGAGUGGCGAACGGGUGAGUAACACGUGAGUAACCUGCCCCUGACUUUGGGAUAACUUCAUGAAACUGGGGCUAAUACCGGAUAGGAGCUCCUGCUGCUGGGUGGGGGUUGGAAAGUUUCGGCGGUUGGGGAGGGACCGGCGGUGGAUUAGCUUGUUGGUAGGGUAGUGGCCUACCAAGGUGACGACCGAGAGCUGGUCUGAGAGGAUGAUCAGCCACACUGGGACUGAGACACGGCCCAGACUCCUACGGGAGGCAGCAGUGGGGAAUAUUGGACAAUGGGCGAAAGCCUGAUCCAGCAAUGCCGCGUGAGUGAUGAAGGGCUUAGGGUUGUAAAGCUCUUUUACCCGGGAUGAUAAUGACAGUACCGGGAGAAUAAGCUCCGGCUAACUCCGUG
Molecule: ribosomal RNA, 463 nt
Filed under: uncultured bacterium
Lineage: Bacteria
Description: partial 16S ribosomal RNA
Rfam family: Bacterial small subunit ribosomal RNA
Source: RNAcentral